GCUUAAACAAACAAGCUUCUAAAGAACUUUGAAGGUGGAUAACAUGGUAGGAAAGUAAAUUUUUUGAGAUAAAUUGACUCAUUUUGCAGUGAAAACUCAGACUCUAGUAGAUAGCAGUGUCAGUGCUGACAGAUGAGGAAAGACACACUAUUCAAAGACCUUACCUUGGACAUGCAGAUACCUGAAAGGUUCAUGCUCUUCUUGUAUUGAAAAAAAUACAAAUAAAGUUUUAUGAUCUCUCACACCAAAAAGUCCUAGAAGAAACAACUUAAAACUUUUUCAUUGAUCUCUUGGAAUAUGUCAGAAUUCACGUUCACCUCAUCUAUUAAAAGAGCUAAAAGAACUAGGUGUUCCUGGGAAGAAUGAAUAGAAAUCUUACUCUUUUAUUUGGAUCAAAGGAUUUCAACAAUGGUUCACUGAUGAAGGUUGAGAAUUAGCACUCAUAAAGAAAAUGAAUUACUGUUAUAAAAAUGAAAGACUCAUUCCCAUGGGAAGAAGCAUGAAAACUAUAUAUAUAUAGAGAGAGAGAAAAAGACAAUGGUUUUUGCAAAGUUUCUGAAUCAGAAUUUGAAUUUCCUGACUGAAGAUUCACAGCUCUAUGAUGUCUUAAAGGAAGAGAUUAUAGACUACCAGUAUAGACCACUCAUUUGAAAAUAAAUUGUAAAAAGAAGAAGAAAUAGGACAGUAACUAGAGUUGACAGCAGAAGCAAGUGAAAAUCUUUCUCCAAAAAUUGGGGGGAGGGGAGGUGGGGAACAGGGGCAGCUCAACAGCUAGUGGAUUGUGAGCCAGGCCCAGAGAUGAGAAGUACUGUGUUCAAAUCUGCCCUCAGCCACUUCCUAGCUGUGUGACCCUGGGCAGGUGACAA
Molecule: long non-coding RNA, 866 nt
Organism: Monodelphis domestica (gray short-tailed opossum)
Lineage: Eukaryota; Metazoa; Chordata; Mammalia; Didelphimorphia; Didelphidae
Source: RefSeq, a predicted model, not a curated record